CCCCUCCUCCUCCUGUCCCAACCUACAAACCAAAACCAAAGCCACCGGUCUUCAAGCCUCCCCCUAUACCAAUCUAUAAGCCAAAACCAAAGUCACCUGUCUUCAAGCCUCCUCCUGUUCCCAUCUAUAAGCCAAAACCAAAGCCACCAGUAUUCAAGCCUCCUCCUGUUCCUAUCUAUAAGCCAAAACCAAAGCCACCAGUAUUCAAGCCUCCUCCUGUUCCUAUCUAUAAGCCAAAACCAAAGCCACCAGUAUUCAAGCCUCCUCCUGUUCCU
Molecule: unclassified non-coding RNA, 275 nt
Filed under: Hevea brasiliensis (rubber tree)
Lineage: Eukaryota; Viridiplantae; Streptophyta; Magnoliopsida; Malpighiales; Euphorbiaceae
Source: RNAcentral